This 2494-nucleotide long non-coding RNA is filed under the name Prunus persica (peach). RNAcentral's name for it is "long non-coding RNA (PPER_LNC008498)". The record is from RNAcentral. Lineage: Eukaryota; Viridiplantae; Streptophyta; Magnoliopsida; Rosales; Rosaceae.
UUUUUUGUUCUCUAGCGGCGGUUUCAUAUCUUUCGUGACGAAAAUAUGGACCAAAUACAUCUUUAGCAGCGAAUAAAACCGUCGCUAGGCGCGGCACAUAAUAGUUUUAGCUGCGAGAAAGAAAACCGUCGCUAAAACUGGAGAGGAAAAUAAAAGUCGCCUCCCAUACCCGUUCAUAUAACGAAAUCUUCUUUAAGCAUACAGGAACCCAACCUUUUAAUAAAUUUUUCAUUUCCAUAUUUAUUAUUUAAUAAUUUGCCCAUACUCUUGUCCACAACCCCAUCACAUACUCGAAUCCUCUCCUAAUCACUAUUUUUGUCUAACCUUGCCUAAGCUUUUGAUAAGAAUAUGACACGUAAUUAGAAUCACAUCCUAUGGCUCAAAUCACUUUUACAUUAUUUUGCAUUUAGGAAGAAUUUUGCGUCGGAAGACUUCACAGAGCUGAAUAUCUGCAGCAUAUGCUGUCGUUGCUGUCGUUAUGUUGAGCUACUGGCAGUUGGCCUUCACUGGCUACUGGGGCUUCUGGUUCACAAGUCCAGCCUUCAGUUUUGUCUUCCUGACUGUUGCCCAGUGGACUAUAGUUAUGGCCAAUCCUUUUGCUGUGACACAGAUCUCAGGAUGUUUUCAGGUACCCUUCAAUUCUUUCGCGUACCUUUAAACAUAAAAACAAAAAACAAAAAACAAAAAACAAAAAACAGAUCAAUAGUUUCUUAAAUCCCCAAUCACCCAUUUAUCACAACUUGGAAUUAUCUUCUAAUGCUGCGUUUGUAUUUCCUUGUGUUUAGAUAUUGCAGGCCUACAUAUGCCUACUCUGAAGGGAACACUUCUUUCUCAAAAAACCACCAGUCAUUUCACCAUGAAAAAUCCCCAGAUUCCAAGUAAUAGCAUUCUCAAAUUCAAUUUGGGCACAAUUUGGUAUGAAAGGGUCCUUCACUGGCUAUUGUAUUAUGUUCAAAGAAGUUUUCUUAUAUAAAAUAAUUUGAGUAUCACUUGAUGUGCUAAACAGUGACGAGAAAACAAGACAGUUUGAAAUGGAUUAGGUGACUAACAGAUUUUUGUAACCUAAAAAACAGGGGCGAAGGAACUUAGCAUCCAAGUCAAACAAAGGGUUGAUAAGUGUAUUUCUGCACAUAGGUAGGUUCCCAAAGAAAAAAAAAUGUCCCAACAAUUUCGAUAGAAAAAUUAACACUUAAUAAGCUACAUACCAAAAAGAACCAAUUUGAUUAUUAUCCAAUAAUGGGUACAAACAAAGAAAAAUUGAUGCAUGCCAACAGAGUGAUCACCAAACUCAACCACACAAGUUUUAUGACAGUAGAAAAUGGAACAUGUAAACCAAAAGAAAUUGUGCACCUAAAACCUCGCACAAAUCCUUGUUCUCUAAGGAAAGGAUAUAUGGAAGAUAAAACAUCUUAACCCCACCCCAAAACAAAAAAAAAAAGGCCUUAAUCAAUGCAUUUUGCUUCCUCCAGUAACAAUUAAUUUUUAAACAAUAGCCAUAAACUAAUUCCUUCACAAAAUUCGCAAUAAAAAUGAUGUGUAAAGCAUUUUUUUGCAACAUCUCAGUAAGUUAAGUAGAAGAGUGCAUGUUGCAAAAACCAAGUAAAAUUCAUAAUCCCGCGCCAAAGCACGAGUUGUAUAAAUGAGCAAAAGGUUCAACAGAAGAUGAUAUAAUUACUUUAUUGAUCAAAAUAUAACAUCAUAAGAAAGAAGCUCGCAUGUUCUCUUAAUCUUUAACAAACAAAACUGGUAAUUCAACUCAAUUUUUAACAAACAAAAGUUUAUUGGAGUUCCUAAACAAUGAAUAGGGUUACACAGAAGUACUAAAUUACUGUCUUGUUCAUGAAGUUAAAUCAAUAAUAAUCUCAGCCAUCUAGGAUUACCCAGAUGAGUUAAUACACAGUAGGAAAAGGAAACUAAUUAGUACCAGUGACUUUGAGAACCCAUUUCCCAUCAGAAUUAUCAUAAAUAGUUAAGUAACAGUCAAAUAAAUAAAAUUCAGAGAAAUUAAUUCUUUGUUUGCAAGGUAUUUGAAAGAAGUAAAAUUCAAAUUUGGACAGAAUAAUCUGGUUGUUAAAAACAUAAGAAUACAAAAUCAACCAGACAAUUGAAGAUUAGGGUUUUCAUGCAUUGGAAGACUGGAGCCAAGAAAGAAACUAUAGCGUCCAGUCCACUGUGCCUAAUUCAAAAUUUUACUCGCUCGCUCUUGUAGAGAGCGUUUGUUGAAAACCAAAGACUUUGAAAUGAAAACACACAAUUAAGAACUAUGCAAUGCCACUCGUUUUCCUUUGAUUUUCUGGGAAGACAAACAGAAAAUAAGAAAAAUAAAGAACGUUUCGUACAGAUUCUGCGUCUUUCAGAUCGGCACGGACUGGCUGUACGGAUCGAUUGACGAACUCAUCCCAGAACCAUUGCUUGGUUAAAACCCUGCGUCUUUCAGAGAGAGAGGCGGAGAAAUUCGAGGAGUAGAAAGUGUAAAAAGAAAAUUGGGCCUGGG